GACGAACGCUGGCGGCGUGCUUAACACAUGCAAGUCGAGCGGUAAGGCCCUUUCGGGGGUACACGAGCGGCGAACGGGUGAGUAACACGUGGGUGACCUGCCCUCAGCUCUGGGAUAAGCCUGGGAAACCGGGUCUAAUACCGGAUAUGACUCCAUGACGCAUGUUGUGGGGUGGAAAGCCUUGUGCGGCUGAGGAUGGGCCCGCGGCCUAUCAGCUUGUUGGUGGGGNGAUGGCCUACCAAGGCGACGACGGGUAGCCGGCCUGAGAGGGCGGACCGGCCACACUGGGACUGAGACACGGCCCAGACUCCUACGGGAGGGCAGCAGUGGGGAAUCUUGCGCAAUGGGCGAAAGCCUGACGCAGCGACGCCGCGUGAGGGAUGACGGCCU
Molecule: ribosomal RNA, 390 nt
Filed under: uncultured bacterium
Lineage: Bacteria
Description: bacterial SSU rRNA
Rfam family: Bacterial small subunit ribosomal RNA
Source: RNAcentral